Molecule: ribosomal RNA, 373 nt
Filed under: uncultured organism
Description: bacterial SSU rRNA
Rfam family: Bacterial small subunit ribosomal RNA
Source: RNAcentral
CAGAGGGUGCGUAGGCGUUAAUCGGAAUUACUGGGCGUAAAGCGCGCGUAGGCGGCUUUGCAAGUCGGGUGUGAAAUCCCCAGGCUUAACCUGGGAACUGCAUUCGAGACUGCAUUGCUAGAGUAUGGGAGAGGGAAGUGGAAUUUCAGGUGUAGCGGUGAAAUGCGUAGAUAUCUGAAGGAACAUCAGUGGCGAAAGCGACUUCCUGGACCAAUACUGACGCUCAUGUGCGAAAGCGUGGGGAGCAAACAGGAUUAGAUACCCUGGUAGUCCACGCCAUAAACGAUGAGAACUGGAUGUCGGGGGGGUCUGCCCCUCGGUGUCGUAGCUAACGCGUUAAGUUCUCCGCCUGGGGAGUACGGCCGCAAGGUUG